CAGAGCAGAUAUUUCGCGCUCCUAUAUAUUUAUUCAAAAAUGUUUAUAAGCAGAAAAACAUUUUUGAAUAAAUAUAUAGGAGCGCGAAAAACAAGAUCAAAUAAAUGAGGAAGUGAGUCAUC
Caenorhabditis elegans is the source of this 122-nucleotide non-coding RNA. The record is from Ensembl. NCBI's taxonomy places the organism in Eukaryota, Metazoa, Nematoda, Chromadorea, Rhabditida, Rhabditidae.